This 492-nucleotide ribosomal RNA is filed under the name uncultured bacterium. Its description in RNAcentral is "partial 16S ribosomal RNA". It matches the Rfam family "Bacterial small subunit ribosomal RNA", at positions 29 to 507 of the family's 1533-position model. The record is from RNAcentral.
AGUGAACGCUGGCGGUAGGCCUAACACAUGCAAGUCGAACGGCAGCACAGUAAGAGCUUGCUCUUACGGGUGGCGAGUGGCGGACGGGUGAGGAAUACAUCGGAAUCUACUUUUUCGUGGGGGAUAACGUAGGGAAACUUACGCUAAUACCGCAUACGACCUACGGGUGAAAGCAGGGGAUCUUCGGACCUUGCGCGAUUGAAUGAGCCGAUGUCGGAUUAGCUAGUUGGCGGGGUAAAGGCCCACCAAGGCGACGAUCCGUAGCUGGUCUGAGAGGAUGAUCAGCCACACUGGAACUGAGACACGGUCCAGACUCCUACGGGGGGCAGCAGUGGGGAAUAUUGGACAAUGGGCGCAAGCCUGAUCCAGCCAUACCGCGUGGGUGAAGAAGGCCUUCGGGUUGUAAAGCUCUUUUGUUGGGAAAGAAAAGCAGCAGGUUAAUACCCCGCUGUUCUGACGGUACCCAAAGAAUAAGCACCGGCUAACUUCGUG